AGCAUGGAGACACUAGGUCUGUUAGCAUGGAGACACUAGUGCUGGAGGUGUUAGCAUGGAGACACUAGGACUGGAGGUGUUAGCAUGGAGACACUAAGACUGUUAGCAUGGAGACACUAGGACUGGAGGUGUUAGCAUGGAGACACUCGGACUGUUUGCAUGGAGACACUAGGACUGGAGGUGUUUGCAUGGAGACACUAGGACUGUUAGCAUGGAGACACUAGGACUGGAGGUGUUAGCAUGGAGACACUAGGACUGUUAGCAUGGAGACACUAGGGCUGUUAGCAUGGAGACACUAGGUCUGUUAGCAUGGAGACACUAGUGCUGGAGGUGUUAGCAUGG
Molecule: long non-coding RNA, 342 nt
Organism: Oncorhynchus keta (chum salmon)
Lineage: Eukaryota; Metazoa; Chordata; Actinopteri; Salmoniformes; Salmonidae
Exons: 4
Source: RefSeq, a predicted model, not a curated record